Molecule: ribosomal RNA, 407 nt
Filed under: uncultured bacterium
Lineage: Bacteria
Description: partial 16S ribosomal RNA
Rfam family: Bacterial small subunit ribosomal RNA
Source: RNAcentral
AUUGAACGCUGGCGGCAGGCCUAACACAUGCAAGUCGAGCGGAGCGGCGGACGGGUGAGUAAUGCCUAGGAAUCUGCCUGGUAGUGGGGGAUAACGUCCGGAAACGGGCGCUAAUACCGCAUACUAUCAGAUGAGCCUAGGUCGGAUUAGCUAGUUGGUGGGGUAAAGGCCUACCAAGGCGACGAUCCGUAACUGGUCUGAGAGGAUGAUCAGUCACACUGGAACUGAUACACGGUCCAGACUCCUACGGGAGGAGUCAGUGGGUAAUAUUGGAAAAUGGGCGAAAGCGUGAUCAAUCCAUGCCGCGGUUGGGAUGAAGGUCUUCGUAUUGUAAAGCACUUUAAGUUGGGAGGCGUUACCAACAGAAUAAGCACAGGCUAACAUCGUGCCAGCAGCCGCGGUAAUAC